GCCGGCUCAAUUGUUUUAUUAGUAGGUUUGCUACAUUAUCCGUGGAGUCUGCUCUUCACGCCUCAACAUAUUUCUUUUCAAGAUAGUCACGUAUGAUAUGGACCGCCGCUUGAUGUGCUUUAAUUUCUGAUGAGAUCUCAGCUUUUUAACAAGUGCUAUGGUUCUAUUAUUGUCGCAAUAAAGUGGAAUGACAUCUGAUGUCAUAACCCCAAGAUCUAUGAUGAACUUUUUGAACCAGAAGCCUUUCUCUGCGGC
RNAcentral lists this long non-coding RNA (255 nucleotides) under Elaeis guineensis (African oil palm). Its description in RNAcentral is "long non-coding RNA (EGUI_LNC039098)". The record is from RNAcentral. Lineage: Eukaryota; Viridiplantae; Streptophyta; Magnoliopsida; Arecales; Arecaceae.